Myotis lucifugus (little brown bat) is the source of this 120-nucleotide ribosomal RNA. The record is from Ensembl. NCBI's taxonomy places the organism in Eukaryota, Metazoa, Chordata, Mammalia, Chiroptera, Vespertilionidae.
GUCUAUGGCCAUACCACCCUGAAAGUGCCCAGUCUCAUCUGAUCUUGGAAGCCAAACAGAGUUGAGUCUAAUGAGUACUUGGAUGGGAGAUUGCUUUGGGGAGUAUGGACAUUUUAAUGA